CAUCCUGCCACUAACAGAUUUCUCCAAACAUCUCUGCACCUCAGAGUGCAAAUACAAUGAAACAUUUCACUCCAUUGAUAGGAAGGAUCCUUCACUAUCCUCUACCAAGGACUUCCUCCUUUGUUGCUUCAGAAUUUUAUUGGAAAGGAACAUCCAUUUUAUUCAAAGUACCUCCAAACCUGCAAUCCUAAAGUCCAGGCAACUCAAUCCCAAAAAUCUGCUGUAGAUGCCCAAAGGCUGUGAUAAUUAAGUCUUCAACAUUUCUACCUUUAUGGCUCCCAGUCAAGAUAGAGCUGCACCAAGUUCAAUUCCAUUUCUCAUCAAAGAUGAUUUUUUCCACUUUAUGAUCAGAACUAUACAACCUUCUUGCUUUGUCUCAGCAUGCUGUUGCACCCACUGGCAAAUUCUUAGGUAAGACAAAAACACAGCCUCAAGGGCAGGUAGUAGUUUUUCCAGAAAAAGGUAAGGCAAUCAUUUAUCUUGGUUUGCCCAGGAAAGUCCCAAUUUAUACACAUAUGUUCCCUCAAUCUGUAGGCUGUCUUUUCAUUUUGUUAUUUCAUUUAAUUUUUUAUUAUUUAUUUAUUUUGUAGCAUCAGAUCUCAUUAUGUUGCCCAGGGUGACCUUGAUCUCCUGGCCUCAAGUGAUGCUCCAACCUUGGCCUCCCAAAGUGCUGGGAUUACAGAUGGGAAUUACCGCACCCAGCCAAUGUGCAGAAGGUUUUCAGUUUGAUGUAGUCUGAUGUAAUCUUACCUAUUUAUUCUUGUUGUUGCCUGAACUUUUGGUGUGAUAUCCAAAAAUAUCAUUGUCAAGAUCAAUAUCAAGAAACUUCCUCCCCUAUGUUUCUUAUACAAAUUUUAUGGUUUCAGAUUUUUCAUCCACUUUAAUUUUAUGUAUGAUGUAAGAUGAGGGUCCAGUCUCCCCAGUGGUGGAUAUCCAAUUUUCCCAACACCAUUUAUUGAAGAAAUUAUUCUUUCUCCUUUCUCCAUUGUGUUUUCUUGAUGUUCUUGUCAAAAAUUAGUUGAGUUUUAUAUGCUUGGGUUUAUUUCUGGGCUCUCUAUUCUGUUUCAUUGCUUUAUGUCCUUUUCUUGCCAGUGCCACAGUGUUUUGAUUACUAUAGCUUUGUAAUAUAAUUUGAAAUCAGAAUGUGUAAUGCCUGUAACUUCGUUUUUCUUCUCUAAAGAUUUUUUUUUUUUUUUUUUUUUGCCAUUUCAGGUCUUUUGUGGUUUCAUAUGAAUUUCAGAAUUGUUUUUCCUAUUUCUGUGAGAAAUGCCAUUGACAUUUUGAUAGGGAUGGUGUUGAAUCUAUAUAAUGCUUUGGGUAGUAUGGACAUUUUAACACUAUUAAUUCUCCCGAUCCAUGAACAUGAAAUAUCUUUCCAUUCACUUGUGUCUUCUUCAAUUUAUUUCAACAGUCUUCUACAGUUUUCAUUGUGCAGAUCUUUCACUUCCCUGGUUAAAUUUAUUUCUAGAAUUUUAUUCUUUUUGAUAUAGUAAAUGGAAUUGUUUUCUUGAUUUCUAUAAAUUAUUUCUUAUAAUACUCAUA
RNAcentral lists this long non-coding RNA (1542 nucleotides) under Pongo abelii (Sumatran orangutan). RNAcentral describes it as "lincRNA". The record is from RNAcentral. Lineage: Eukaryota; Metazoa; Chordata; Mammalia; Primates; Hominidae.